Molecule: non-coding RNA, 222 nt
Organism: Acetonema longum DSM 6540
Lineage: Bacteria; Bacillati; Bacillota; Negativicutes; Acetonemataceae
Source: Rfam
GGAAACCCCGCCCGGUAAGGCGUAGCCGCGCCACCGGUAGCCAGCUUUGGAGGUACCGUAGUAAUAGGGUAACUUAAGCGUAAGCGGUUAGGUAGUAGGCCUGAAAGUGGUCGAGACCCGAAAAUACCCAACGGAGCAGGACAAUGGUAUUGACGCCCCAGAAGUCUACACGCGUGAAUGCGGAUGGCUAGUGUUCGCGUGCUGCCCCGGGGUCUAUGAGCC